RNAcentral lists this ribosomal RNA (605 nucleotides) under Microbacterium foliorum. Its description in RNAcentral is "partial 16S ribosomal RNA". The record is from RNAcentral. Lineage: Bacteria; Bacillati; Actinomycetota; Actinomycetes; Micrococcales; Microbacteriaceae.
CGAACGGUGAACACGGAGCUUGCUCUGUGGGAUCAGUGGCGAACGGGUGAGUAACACGUGAGCAACCUGCCCCUGACUCUGGGAUAAGCGCUGGAAASGGCGUCUAAUASUGGAUASGAGUAGCGGCCGCAUGGUCAGUUACUGGAAAGAUUUUUUGGUUGGGGAUGGGCUCGCGGCCUAUCAGCUUGUUGGUGAGGUAAUGGCUCACCAAGGCGUCGACGGGUAGCCGGCCUGAGAGGGUGACCGGCCACACUGGGACUGASACACGGCCCARACUCCUACGGGAGGCAGCRGUGGGGAAUAUUGCACAAKGGGCGGAAGCCUGAUGCAKCARCGCCGCGUGAGGGAUGACGGCCUUCGGGUUGUAAACCUCUUUUAGCAGGGAAGAAGCGAAAGUGACGGUACCUGCRKAAAAAGCGCCGGCUAAYUACKUGCCAKCAGCCGCGGUAAUACGUAKGGCGCARGCGUUAUCCGGAAUUAUUGGGCGUAAAGAGCUCGUAGGCGGUUUGUCGCGUCUGCUGUGAAAUCCCGAGGCUCARCCUSGGGCCUGCAGUGGGUACGGGCAGACUASAGUGCGGUAGGGGAGAUUGGAAUUCCUGGUGUAG